UCCGUAGGUGAACCUGCGGAGGGAUCAUUACCGAGUUUACAACUCCCAAACCCCUGUGAACAUACCACUUGUUGCCUCGGCGGAUCAGCCCGCUCCCGGUAAAACGGGACGGCCCGCCAGAGGACCCCUAAACUCUGUUUCUAUAUGUAACUUCUGAGUAAAACCAUAAAUAAAUCAAAACUUUCAACAACGGAUCUCUUGGUUCUGGCAUCGAUGAAGAACGCAGCAAAAUGCGAUAAGUAAUGUGAAUUGCAGAAUUCAGUGAAUCAUCGAAUCUUUGAACGCACAUUGCGCCUGCCAGUAUUCUGGCGGGCAUGCCUGUUCGAGCGUCAUUUCAACCCUCAAGCACAGCUUGGUGUUGGGACUCGCGUUAAUUCGCGUUCCCCAAAUUGAUUGGCGGUCACGUCGAGCUUCCAUAGCGUAGUAGUAAAACCCUCGUUACUGGUAAUCGUCGCGGCCACGCCGUUAAACCCCAACUUCUGAAUGUUGACCUCGGAUCAGGUAGGAAUACCCGCUGAACUUAAGCAUAUCAAUAAGCGGAGGA
Molecule: ribosomal RNA, 544 nt
Filed under: Fusarium oxysporum f. sp. radicis-lycopersici
Lineage: Eukaryota; Fungi; Ascomycota; Sordariomycetes; Hypocreales; Nectriaceae
Description: eukaryotic LSU rRNA
Rfam family: 5.8S ribosomal RNA (bases 179-332)
Source: RNAcentral